UAGUCAAGUUGACAAGCAGGAUAGCCAU
This 28-nucleotide non-coding RNA is filed under the name Mus musculus (house mouse). The record is from RNAcentral. Lineage: Eukaryota; Metazoa; Chordata; Mammalia; Rodentia; Muridae.